Molecule: ribosomal RNA, 1217 nt
Filed under: uncultured Rhizaria
Lineage: Eukaryota
Description: SSU rRNA
Rfam family: Eukaryotic small subunit ribosomal RNA
Source: RNAcentral
CGGUAAUUCCAGCUCCAAUAGCGUAUACUAAAGUUGUUGCAGUUAAAAAGCUCGUAGUUGGAUUUCUGCGGGGACGGAGCGGCCGGACGCAACUUGCGUCUCGAGCUAGCGCUUUCCCCGCAUCCUGCCGCGAACCGUGCUACCAUUAGCUUGGUGGCGCUGGGGAUCGGCUCGAUUACUUUGAGAAAAAUAGAGUGUUCAAAGCAGGCCACACGCCUUGAAUAAGUUAGCAUGGAAUAAUGACUAAGGACUUCGGUUCUAUUUUGUUGGUGUUCGGGACUGAAGUAAUGAUUGAUAGGGACAGUUGGGGCGGUCUGUAUUCCAAAGCGAGAGGUGAAAUUCUUAGACCUUCGGAAGACAAACAGCUGCGAAAGCGUUCCGCAAGGAUGUUCCCUUUGAUCAAGAACGAAAGUUGGGGGAUCGAAGACGAUCAGAUACCGUCGUAGUCUCAACUAUAAACUAUACCAGCUAGGGAUCGGUCAACGUUUAAUCAUUCGACUUGAUCGGCACCUUAUGAGAAAUCAAAGCAUCUGGGUUCCGGGGGGAGUAUGGUCGCAAGGCUGAAACUUAAAGGAAUUGACGGAAGGGCACCACCAGCCGUGGAGCCUGUGGCUUAAUUUGACUCAACACGGGAAAACUUACCAGGUCCAGACAUAGUAAGGAUUGACAGAUUGAUAGCUCUUUCUUGAUUCUGUGGGUGGUGGUGCAUGGCCGUUCUUAGUUGGUGGAGUGAUUUGUCUGGUUAAUUCCGUUAACGAACGAGACCCCAGCCUGCUAAAUAGCGCGGUUGAGCUUUGCUCGAUGCGAGCUUCUUAGAGGGACUAUGAUGCGCGAUAGCACAUGGAAGUUUGGGGCAAUACCAGGUCUGUGAUGCCCUUAGAUGUUCUGGUCCGCACACGGGCUACACUGGCGCCUGCAACGAGCAUAUCAGCUGGCCCGAGAGGGUCUUGGCUAAUCUUUUGAACCGGCGCCGUGCUUGGGAUUGACCAUUGCAAUUGUUGGUCAUGCAACGAGGAAUGCCUUGUAAACGCGAGUCAUCAGCUCGCAUUGAAUACGUCCCUGCCCUUUGUACACACCGCCCGUCGCUCCUACCGAUGAAUGUUCCGAUGAAAUUUUCGGAGAGCGCCAGAGAACGGGGCUCUGCCUUGCAGAUCUGGAGGCUCAAAGUCACUUAAAUCUGAACAUUUCGAGGAAGGAGAAGUCGUAACAAGGUAACC